UGUAAUUUAGUUUAGAAAGAAUAUUUGUUUUUGGUGCAAAAGGGGCUAGUUACAA
This 55-nucleotide transfer RNA is filed under the name Rhabdias kafunata. RNAcentral's name for it is "tRNA-Gln". The record is from RNAcentral. Lineage: Eukaryota; Metazoa; Nematoda; Chromadorea; Rhabditida; Rhabdiasidae.